UACGUAGGUGACAAGCGUUGUCCGGAUUUACUGGGCGUAAAGAGCGCGCAGGCGGUCGUCCAAGUCGCGUGUGAAAGCCCCCGGCUCAACUGGGGAGGGUCACGCGAUACUGGUCGACUCGAAGGCAGGAGAGGGUAGUGGAAUUCCCGGUGUAGUGGUGAAAUGCGUAGAUAUCGGGAGGAACACCAGUGGCGAAGGCGACUACCUGGCCUGUUCUUGACGCUGAGGCGCGAAAGCUAGGGGAGCAAACAGG
This 253-nucleotide ribosomal RNA is filed under the name uncultured bacterium. Its description in RNAcentral is "partial 16S ribosomal RNA". It matches the Rfam family "Bacterial small subunit ribosomal RNA", at positions 524 to 776 of the family's 1533-position model. The record is from RNAcentral.